UGGAAACUNUCUGACUUGAGUGCAGAAGGGGAGAGUGGAAUUCCAUGUGUAGCGGUGAAAUGCGUAGAUAUAUGGAGGAACACCAGUGGCGAAAGCGGCUCUCUGGUCUGUCACUGACGCUGAGGCUCGAAAGCGUGGGUAGCGAACAGGAUUAGAUACCCUGGUAGUCCACGCCGUAAACGAUGAGUGCUAGGUGUUAGGCCCUUUCCGGGGCUUAGUGCCGGAGCUAACGCAAUAAGCACUCCGCCUGGGGAGUACGACCGCAAGGUUGAAACUCAAAGGAAUUGACGGGGGCCCGCACAAGCGGUGGAGCAUGUGGUUUAAUUCGAAGCAACGCGAAGAACCUUACCAGGUCUUGACAUCCCGAUGCUAUUCUUAGAGAUAGGAAGUUACUUCGGUACAUCGGAGACAGGUGGUGCAUGGUUGUCGUCAGCUCGUGUCGUGAGAUGUUGGGUUAAGUCCCGCAACGAGCGCAACCCUUAUUGUUAGUUGCCAUCAUUAAGUUGGGCACUCUAGCGAGACUGCCGGUAAUAAACCGGAGGAAGGUGGGGAUGACGUCAAAUCAUCAUGCCCCUUAUGACCUGGGCUACACACGUGCUACAAUGGUCGGUACAACGAGUUGCGAGCCGGUGACGGCAAGCUAAUCUCUGAAAGCCGAUCUCAGUUCGGAUUGGAGGCUGCAACUCGCCUCCAUGAAGUCGGAAUCGCUAGUAAUCGCGGAUCAGCACGCCGCGGUGAAUACGUUCCCGGGCCUUGUACACACCGCCCGUCACACCACGAGAGUUUGUAACACCCGAAGUCGGUGAGGUAACCUUUUAGGGNCCA
RNAcentral lists this ribosomal RNA (825 nucleotides) under uncultured bacterium. Its description in RNAcentral is "bacterial SSU rRNA". It matches the Rfam family "Bacterial small subunit ribosomal RNA", at positions 627 to 1451 of the family's 1533-position model. The record is from RNAcentral.